CCUACGGGAGGCUGCAGUGGGGAAUAUUGGACAAUGGGCGAAAGCCUGAUCCAGCAAUGCCGCGUGAGUGAUGAAGGCCUUAGGGUUGUAAAGCUCUUUUACCCGGGAUGAUAAUGACAGUACCGGGAGAAUAAGCCCCGGCUAACUCCGUGCCAGCAGCCGCGGUAAUACGGAGGGGGCUAGCGUUGUUCGGAAUUACUGGGCGUAAAGCGCGCGUAGGCGGCUUUGUAAGUUAGAGGUGAAAGCCCGGAGCUCAACUCCGGAACUGCCUUUAAGACUGCAUCGCUAGAAUCAUGGAGAGGUGAGUGGAAUUCCGAGUGUAGAGGUGAAAUUCGUAGAUAUUCGGAAGAACACCAGUGGCGAAGGCGACUCACUGGACAUGUAUUGACGCUGAGGUGCGAAAGCGUGGGGAGCAAACAGGAUUAGAUACCCUUGUAGUC
RNAcentral lists this ribosomal RNA (440 nucleotides) under uncultured Sphingomonas sp. RNAcentral describes it as "bacterial SSU rRNA". It matches the Rfam family "Bacterial small subunit ribosomal RNA", at positions 338 to 795 of the family's 1533-position model. The record is from RNAcentral. Lineage: Bacteria; Pseudomonadati; Pseudomonadota; Alphaproteobacteria; Sphingomonadales; Sphingomonadaceae.